This 102-nucleotide small nuclear RNA is filed under the name Phascolarctos cinereus (koala). Lineage: Eukaryota; Metazoa; Chordata; Mammalia; Diprotodontia; Phascolarctidae. The record is from RNAcentral.
GGGCUUAUUCCAGCAGCCCUCAUAAUGAAAUUGGAACAAUAUGGAGAAGGUUAACAUGGCCAAGGAUAAGAAGAAAAUUCUUGAAUGACCAUAACAAUGAUU